UACGUAGGCAGCAAGCGUUGUUCGGAAUUACUGGGCUUAAAGAGUUCGUAGGCGGCCUUGCAAGUAGGGUGUGAAAGCCCUCGGCUCAACCGAGGAAUUGCGCUCUAAACUGCAGUGCUCGAGGAAGCUAGAGGUGAGCAGAACAGAUGGUGGAGCGGUGAAAUGCGUUGAUAUCAUCUGGAAUACCGGAGGCGAAGGCGGCUCACUGGGGCUUUUCUGACGCUGAGGAACGAAAGCCAGGGUAGCGAACGGG
This 253-nucleotide ribosomal RNA is filed under the name uncultured bacterium. RNAcentral's name for it is "partial 16S ribosomal RNA". It matches the Rfam family "Bacterial small subunit ribosomal RNA", at positions 524 to 776 of the family's 1533-position model. The record is from RNAcentral.